This 253-nucleotide ribosomal RNA is filed under the name uncultured bacterium. RNAcentral's name for it is "partial 16S ribosomal RNA". It matches the Rfam family "Bacterial small subunit ribosomal RNA", at positions 524 to 776 of the family's 1533-position model. The record is from RNAcentral.
UACGUAGGGUGCAAGCGUUAAUCGGAAUUACUGGGCGUAAAGCGUGCGCAGGCGGUUUUGUAAGUCUGUCGUGAAAUCCCCGGGCUCAACCUGGGAAUUGCGAUGGAGACUGCAAGGCUAGAGUUUGGCAGAGGGGGGUAGAAUUCCACGUGUAGCAGUGAAAUGCGUAGAUAUGUGGAGGAACACCGAUGGCGAAGGCAGCCCCCUGGGUCAAGACUGACGCUCAUGCACGAAAGCGUGGGGAGCAAGCAGG